Molecule: ribosomal RNA, 1260 nt
Filed under: Calonarius saxamontanus
Lineage: Eukaryota; Fungi; Basidiomycota; Agaricomycetes; Agaricales; Cortinariaceae
Description: eukaryotic LSU rRNA
Rfam family: Eukaryotic large subunit ribosomal RNA (bases 616-1260)
Source: RNAcentral
GGUUUCCGUAGGUGAACCUGCGGAAGGAUCAUUAUUGAAAUAAACCUGAUAAGUUGCUGCUGGUUCUCUAGGGAGCAUGUGCACACUUGUCAUCUUUGUAUCUUCACCUGUGCACCUUUUGUAGACCUGAGURUCUCUCUGAAUGUUUUAGCAUUCAGGAUUGAGGAUUGACUUUCUGUCUCUUCUUUACAUUUUCAGGUCUAUGUUUCUUCAUAUACCCUAAUGUAUGUUUAUAGAAUGUAAUUAAUGGGCCUUUGUGCCUAUAAAUCUAUACAACUUUCAGCAACGGAUCUCUUGGCUCUCGCAUCGAUGAAGAACGCAGCGAAAUGCGAUAAGUAAUGUGAAUUGCAGAAUUCAGUGAAUCAUCGAAUCUUUGAACGCACCUUGCGCUCCUUGGUAUUCCGAGGAGCAUGCCUGUUUGAGUGUCAUUAAUAUAUCAACCUUCUUUGGUUGGAUGUGGGUUUGCUGGCCUCUUGAGGUCAGCUCCCCUUAAAUGCAUUAGCGGACAACAUUUUGCCAACCGUUCAUUGGUGUGAUAAUUAUCUACGCCAUUGACGUGAAGCAAGGUUCAGCUUCUAACAGUCCAUUGACUUGGAUAAAUUCAUUUUAUUAAUGUGACCUCAAAUCAGGUAGGACUACCCGCUGAACUUAAGCAUAUCAAUAAGCGGAGGAAAAGAAACUAACAAGGAUUCCCCUAGUAACUGCGAGUGAAGCGGGAAAAGCUCAAAUUUAAAAUCUGGCAGUCUUUGGCUGUCCGAGUUGUAAUCUAGAGAAGCAUUAUCCGCGCUGGACCGUGUACAAGUCUUCUGGAAUGGAGCGUCAUAGAGGGUGAGAAUCCCGUCUUUGACACGGACUGCCAGGGCUUUGUGAUGUGCUCUCAAAGAGUCGAGUUGUUUGGGAAUGCAGCUCAAAAUGGGUGGUAAAUUCCAUCUAAAGCUAAAUAUUGGCGAGAGACCGAUAGCGAACAAGUACCGUGAGGGAAAGAUGAAAAGAACUUUGGAAAGAGAGUUAAACAGUACGUGAAAUUGCUGAAAGGGAAACGCUUGAAGUCAGUCGCGUUGUCCAGGGAUCAACUCUUGCUUUUGCUUGGUGUAUUUUCUGGUUAACGGGUCAGCAUCAAUUUUGACUAUUGGAAAAAGAUUAAGGGAAUGUGGCAUCUUUGGAUGUGUUAUAGCCCUUGGUUGCAUACAUUAGUUGGGAUUGAGGAACUCAGCAYGCCGCAAGGCCGAGUUUUUAUUAACUACGUACGUGCUUAGGAUG